CGUGAGUGAUGAAGGCUUUCGGGUCGUAAAGCUCUGUCAAGUGGGAAGAAACCACAUGGUGCCAAUACCAUCAUGUGUUGACGGUACCGCUGAAGGAAGCACCGGCUAACUCCGUGCCAGCAGCCGCGGUAAUACGGGGGGUGCAAGCGUUAUUCGGAAUUACUGGGCGUAAAGAGCGCGUAGGCGGUCCUUUAAGUCGGAUGUGAAAGCCCGGGGCUUAACCCCGGAAGUGCACUCGAAACUAUGGGACUUGAGUAUGGGAGAGGGAAGUGGAAUUCCUGGUGUAGCGGUGAAAUGCGUAGAUAUCAGGAGGAACAUCGGUGGCGAAGGCGACUUCCUGGACCAAUACUGACGCUGAGGCGCGAAGGCGUGGGGAGCAAACAGGAUUAGAUACCCUGGUAGUCCACGCAGUAAACGGUGAUCACUAGGUGUAGCGGGUAUUGACCCCUGCUGUGCCGCAGCAAACGCAUUAA
RNAcentral lists this ribosomal RNA (473 nucleotides) under uncultured delta proteobacterium. Its description in RNAcentral is "bacterial SSU rRNA". It matches the Rfam family "Bacterial small subunit ribosomal RNA", at positions 400 to 863 of the family's 1533-position model. Lineage: Bacteria; Deltaproteobacteria. The record is from RNAcentral.